AGAGUUUGAUCCUGGCUCAGGAUGAACGCUAGCGACAGGCUUAACACAUGCAAGUCGAGGGGCAGCGGGGUAGUGCUUGCACUACCGCCGGCGACCGGCGCACGGGUGAGUAACACGUAUGCAACCUACCCUGAUCAGGGGGAUAAGCGGUGGAAACGCCGUCUAAUACCGCGUAUAUCUUCCGGGGGCAUCCCCGGGAGAAGAAAGGUAGUAAUACCGGAACAGGAUGGGCAUGCGGCGCAUUAGGUAGUUGGAGGUGCAACGGACCACCAAGCCGACGAUGCGUAGGGGUUCUGAGAGGAAGGUCCCCCACACUGGUACUGAGACACGGACCAGACUCCUACGGGAGGCAGCAGUGAGGAAUAUUGGUCAAUGGGCGGGAGCCUGAACCAGCCAAGUCGCGUGAAGGAAGAAGGUACUUAGUAUUGUAAACUUCUUUUGUCAGGGAACAAAAGUGAGGACGCGUCCUCAUAUGAGUGUACCUGAAGAAAAAGCAUCGGCUAACUCCGUGCCAGCAGCCGCGGUAAUACGGAGGAUGCGAGCGUUAUCCGGAUUUAUUGGGUUUAAAGGGUGCGCAGGCGGAAGGUCAAGUCAGCGGUAAAAUGUCGGGGCUCAACCCCGGCCGGCCGUUGAAACUGGUCAUCUAGAGUUGGAGAGAAGUAUGCGGAAUUCGUGGUGUAGCGGUGAAAUGCAUAGAUAUCACGCAGAACUCCGAUUGCGAAGGCAGCGUACCGGCGCCCAACUGACGCUCAUGCACGAAAGCGUGGGUAUCGAACAGGAUUAGAUACCCUGGUAGUCCACGCAGUAAACGAUGAAUACUCGCUGUCCGGGGAGAUUGGUCUCUGGGCGGCCAAGCGAAAGCGUUAAGUAUUCCACCUGGGGAGUACGCCGGCAACGGUGAAACUCAAAGGAAUUGACGGGGGCCCGCACAAGCGGAGGAACAUGUGGUUUAAUUCGAUGAUACGCGAGGAACCUUACCCGGGCUCAAACGACGGAUGAAUACUUUUGAAAGGAGGUAGUCCUUCGGGACAUCCGUCGAGGUGUUGCAUGGUUGUCGUCAGCUCGUGCCGUGAGGUGUCGGCUUAAGUGCCAUAACGAGCGCAACCCCCAUCGCCAGUUGCCAACAGGUAAAGCUGGGAACUCUGGCGAGACUGCCGGCGCAAGCUGUGAGGAAGGCGGGGAUGACGUCAAAUCAGCACGGCCCUUACAUCCGGGGCGACACACGUGUUACAAUGGCAGGUACAGAGAGAUGCGACACGGCGACGUGGAGCGGAACUGUCAAAACCUGUCUCAGUUCGGAUCGGAGUCUGCAACCCGACUCCGUGAAGCUGGAUUCGCUAGUAAUCGCGCAUCAGCCAUGGCGCGGUGAAUACGUUCCCGGGCCUUGCACACACCGCCCGUCA
This 1403-nucleotide ribosomal RNA is filed under the name uncultured bacterium. RNAcentral's name for it is "16S ribosomal RNA". It matches the Rfam family "Bacterial small subunit ribosomal RNA". The record is from RNAcentral.